CCGUAGGUGAACCUGCGGAGGGAUCAUUACUGAGUUUACGCUCUAUAACCCUUUGUGAACAUACCUAUAACUGUUGCUUCGGCGGGUAGGGUCUCCGCGACCCUCCCGGCCUCCCGCCUCCGGGCGGGUCGGCGCCCGCCGGAGGAUAACCAAACUCUGAUUUAACGACGUUUCUUCUGAGUGGUACAAGCAAAUAAUCAAAACUUUUAACAACGGAUCUCUUGGUUCUGGCAUCGAUGAAGAACGCAGCGAAAUGCGAUAAGUAAUGUGAAUUGCAGAAUUCAGUGAAUCAUCGAAUCUUUGAACGCACAUUGCGCCCGCCAGCAUUCUGGCGGGCAUGCCUGUUCGAGCGUCAUUUCAACCCUCAAGCUCUGCUUGGUGUUGGGGCCCUACAGCUGAUGUAGGCCCUCAAAGGUAGUGGCGGACCCUCCCGGAGCCUCCUUUGCGUAGUAACUUUACGUCUCGCACUGGGAUCCGGAGGGACUCUUGCCGUAAAACCCCCCAAUUUUCCAAAGGUUGACCUCGGAUCAGGUAGGAAUACCCGCUGAACUUAAGCAUAUCAAUAA
Molecule: ribosomal RNA, 566 nt
Filed under: Colletotrichum gloeosporioides
Lineage: Eukaryota; Fungi; Ascomycota; Sordariomycetes; Glomerellales; Glomerellaceae
Description: eukaryotic LSU rRNA
Rfam family: 5.8S ribosomal RNA (bases 202-355)
Source: RNAcentral